This is a non-coding RNA of Vicia faba (fava bean), 297 nucleotides long. NCBI's taxonomy places the organism in Eukaryota, Viridiplantae, Streptophyta, Magnoliopsida, Fabales, Fabaceae. The record is from the annotation of a GenBank genome assembly.
AUGAUGAUUGAAGCGAGGUUAAUGCAGAAACUUCCCGAUGAUUGCAGAGAGAGAGGGCGGUUGAAAUCAGGAACCAAAUUCUUUAAUAGCUUGGAAGGGGCGUCAACAGGAAGCGAAUUAUUCAAUGCUUUGCAAACUCAGGAAGAAGAUUUUGCCUUGAGUCGACUCGGGGCCCUGGGUUGUGCAAAUCUGAGCAGCAGGUUGGUAUCAGGGCUAUUAAUAGCAUACCAUUGGACUUGUCCUAAAGGUGCAGCCGCUUAUGCAUUGUUAUGGUUGGUCUUUGGAAGCAGGAAGUAG